AAAUUGAAGAGUUUGAUCAUGGCUCAGAUUGAACGCUGGCGGCAGGCCUAACACAUGCAAGUCGAGCGGAAACGACACUAACAAUCCUUCGGGUGCGUUAAUGGGCGUCGAGCGGCGGACGGGUGAGUAAUGCCUAGGAAAUUGCCUUGAUGUGGGGGAUAACCAUUGGAAACGAUGGCUAAUACCGCAUAAUGCCUACGGGCCAAAGAGGGGGACCUUCGGGCCUCUCGCGUCAAGAUAUGCCUAGGUGGGAUUAGCUA
This 260-nucleotide ribosomal RNA is filed under the name Vibrio splendidus. Its description in RNAcentral is "partial 16S ribosomal RNA". It matches the Rfam family "Bacterial small subunit ribosomal RNA", at positions 1 to 247 of the family's 1533-position model. Lineage: Bacteria; Pseudomonadati; Pseudomonadota; Gammaproteobacteria; Vibrionales; Vibrionaceae. The record is from RNAcentral.